GACGAACGCUGGCGGCGUGCCUAAUACAUGCAAGUCGAACGCAGUGGGGACGGGUGAGUAACACGUGGGUAACCUCCCAUCAGAGGGGAUAACACUUGGCAACAGGUGCUAAACCGAUACUGAUGGAUGAACCCGCGGAGCAUUAGCUAGUUGGUGAGGUAACGGCGCACCAAGGCCACGAUGCCUAGCCGACCUGAGAGGAUGAUCGGCCACACUGGGACUGAGACACGGCCCAGACUCCUACGUGAGGCAGCAGUGGGGAAGCUUGUGCAAUGGGCGAAAGUCUGACCGAGCCAUGCCGCGUGAGUGAAGAAGGUUUUCGGAUCGUAAAACGCUGUUGUUAGAGAAGCGGUAUCUACCCAGGAAGCAACGGCUAACUACGUGCCAGCAGCCGCGGUAAUUC
RNAcentral lists this ribosomal RNA (403 nucleotides) under uncultured bacterium. RNAcentral's name for it is "partial 16S ribosomal RNA". It matches the Rfam family "Bacterial small subunit ribosomal RNA", at positions 28 to 526 of the family's 1533-position model. The record is from RNAcentral.